RNAcentral lists this ribosomal RNA (308 nucleotides) under uncultured archaeon. RNAcentral's name for it is "bacterial SSU rRNA". It matches the Rfam family "Archaeal small subunit ribosomal RNA", at positions 526 to 834 of the family's 1478-position model. The record is from RNAcentral.
CGGUUGGGUAAGUUCCUGGUAAAAGCUGGCAGCUCAACUGUCAAUCUGCUAGGAAAACUACCCAACUAGAGGGCGGGAGAGGUCAGAGGUACUCCAGGGGUAGGGGUGAAAUCCGAUAAUCCUUGGGGGACCACCAGUGGCGAAAGCGUCUGACUGGAACGCGCCUGACGGUGAGGGACGAAAGCCAGGGGAGCAAACCGGAUUAGAUACCCGGGUAGUCCUGGCCGUAAACGAUGCGCGCGAGGUGUUGGAAAGGCCACGAGCCGUUCCAGUGCCGUAGGAAAACCGAUAAGCGUGCCGCCUGGGGA